CAGUAGCCGCGGUAAUACGUAGGGUGCAAGCGUUAAUCGGAAUUACUGGGCGUAAAGCGUGCGCAGGCGGUUAUAUAAGACAGAUGUGAAAUCCCCGGGCUCAACCUGGGAACUGCAUUUGUGACUGUAUAGCUAGAGUACGGCAGAGGGGGAUGGAAUUCCGCGUGUAGCAGUGAAAUGCGUAGAUAUGCGGUGGAACACCGAUGGCGAAGGCAAUCCCCUGGGCCUGUACUGACGCUCAUGCACGAAAGCGUGGGGAGCAAACAGGAUUAGAUACCCGUGUAGUCCCUGUCUCUUAUAC
This 301-nucleotide ribosomal RNA is filed under the name uncultured bacterium. Its description in RNAcentral is "partial 16S ribosomal RNA". It matches the Rfam family "Bacterial small subunit ribosomal RNA", at positions 509 to 807 of the family's 1533-position model. The record is from RNAcentral.